Molecule: long non-coding RNA, 1506 nt
Filed under: Anser brachyrhynchus (Pink-footed goose)
Lineage: Eukaryota; Metazoa; Chordata; Aves; Anseriformes; Anatidae
Description: lncRNA (ENSABRG00000019728.1)
Source: RNAcentral
GGAAAUUAUUGCUUAACUACUGUUAUGUAUUCACUGGCAGUCUUAGCCACUCAGCCAAAGAUAGUUCAAAAAAGGAAGUAGAGAAAGCUGAUUGAAGUGAAAUCCUCAAACUAAAUAUGAAAAAUAGAAGACUUAAGGCUUUAUAUUUUUCUUUCAUGAAGAAUCCCUAAUGUUCCUGACAUUAGAAAACCAUUUAAAAUCAAACUGCUGUGACUUUAUCAUUGUUGCGUCAUGAUUGCUUUGAUGUCUGAUCAUUUGGAUGUUUAUUCCUGGGACUGCCUUACUCAUUUCCACAGUGGGGCACACUCACAUGGUGGAGGGGUAGGGGAUUGUUUGUGGACACAAAUGGGGAAAUCCUUCUCUCUCUCUCUCUCUCUGUGUCUGUGUGUGUUACUGUAAGAUUUGGUUAAUAGAUGGGGAGCAGAGGGGACUGAUUUCAAGUAGAAGACAUUUCCUAUGGUUGCCGUGCUUGAGUACCAGCGUUAGCAGUCAUUAUAAGCUUAUGAUAAGCACCCACUCAUGCAGCUGAAAUUAUUACUAAAAACUGGUCAUGAAGAUGGCAUUUAUGCAGACCACUAAGCAUCAUACCAGCCAGUUACACAUGCAGAAAUGUGAAUGGUACAUGUAACUUUUCAAGUCAUUAACCACCAGCAUCACAAUUUCCUUUAGGUUCUUAAAAUUGUGUUGUAUGCAUUUGCAUAGAACCUAUGGAUUGUUACUCAGACAAUUUAACUGGCUCCUGUUGAAGAUUAUCAGUCUCUCCCUCACUCUGAAUCAGCACGUGGGAGAUUAUAGUUGUUUCCAUCUGUACAGGUUAUCUGAGGACUUGGGUUACCUGAGAAACCACUCUCAAGGAUCAGUGUUUAAUGUGGCCUUUCUAAGAGACAACACCAACAAAGAGCUGCUCUUGGCAGAUGGUACAGGAACAUGGCUGUGAGAAUGUGCUACCCUCAUGGUCCCCUGCUGACCCUCUACACUGGGAAACAUAUGCAUUGUUCAUUUCUCUGAUAUGUGAAUCAGGUAUAACCAUCAAUAACGUAAGCAAUACUAGUGAGCAGCUCUUAUGGAAAUAAUUGGACUGUUAACGGUAUCUGUUCUGAACUUGGGACUUCUCAUUUAUAUAUAAUCAUGCAAAUAGUUUAUUGUUAGCAAUUGAUAGUAGACUUUUGUGUCAUAACAUUUCCUUCGGUUUCUGUAAAACUUUAAGUAUGUGUAAAACUGAUGGUCUUUUUUUUUAAACUUCUUCAAUCCAAUUACAGUACCCAUCUACUCAGACAUGCCUUGAGAACUACAGCAUCAUCAGUGUUACCUAUGAAUUUUAGGCUAGGGUACUUACCUACUAGAGUAGCAUUCAAAAGUAAUUCUACUGAACAAGUAUAAUAUUAAGGAACAGGAGAGCUUAAGGUACAGCAUUAAAGUUUACUUUAUUUUAAAGAUGCAUCACUAACCUGAAACCCAGUGAUUUAUUAUUUUUUUAAUAAAUUAGUAGUAAUCUCAGGAUCUGCA